GCGUCCUGAGUGAACUCCGAGGCCAUUACGCUCCGAUAUGUGCGUUAUGCAGCUCCUCUCUUUCUCUCCCGCCCUGUUAGUCCCAAAGGUCAGGAGCUGUUUCUGUCAGACCAGAAUAAACCCCGCCCACCCCAGUUCUCUGGUGGGAGGAACUAAGAUGCAAGAAGAAGAGGAGGAAGUACAAACUGAGAAAUGGAGCUGCAGGUGUGAUGCAGGGAGGUGGACCCUCACCCUCUCUUCAGCUGCUUCUUCUGGCGACAGCCCGUCUCUCUGCAGAGCGAGCAGAGAUCUGUCAAUCCUCGACAGCCGGCUGCACAGAGACAGCAGCAAGUUCACGAUCCUCUCCAGAUCACCUGCAAACAACAAACAGCGUCACUCUGAUGUCAUACCGAUGAACACGCUGUACUUGUCCUUCUCGUUGGUUUUGAGGUGGUCCUGCACCAUUGUCUCGAUGCUAUCCCCCAGCGACUUGUGAUGCUUCUGCUCCUCACACAGCGCCUCUUUCUCUUGCUUCAGAGCCACCACGCUGCGCCUAAGAGCUUCACACAGCUCCACCUGGUAGACAGCAGGAGAAAUAUUGGUCUCCGUCUUUUGAUCUGCCGCCGUGCUCUGAGCAGGAUCACAGAUGCCAGCCUGGGUCCUACAAAGAAGACAAUACUAUUUAAAAACAGAUAUUUUUGAUGUGAC
Oreochromis niloticus (Nile tilapia) is the source of this 687-nucleotide long non-coding RNA. RefSeq lists it as uncharacterized. The transcript has 5 exons. The record is from RefSeq and is a predicted model, not a curated record. Lineage: Eukaryota; Metazoa; Chordata; Actinopteri; Cichliformes; Cichlidae.